GACUCUCGGCAACGGAUAUCUCGGCUCACGCAUCGAUGAAGAACGUAGCAAAAUGCGAUACUUGGUGUGAAUUGCAGAAUCCCGUGAACCAUCGAGUUUUUGAACGCAAGUUGCGCCCGAAGCCAUCCGGUUGAGGGCACGCCUGCCUGGGCGUUAACACAUCG
This 164-nucleotide ribosomal RNA is filed under the name Taraxacum sp. HUH34681. Its description in RNAcentral is "5.8S ribosomal RNA". It matches the Rfam family "5.8S ribosomal RNA". Rfam says of the family: 5.8S ribosomal RNA (5.8S rRNA) is a component of the large subunit of the eukaryotic ribosome. It is transcribed by RNA polymerase I as part of the 45S precursor that also contains 18S and 28S rRNA. The record is from RNAcentral. Lineage: Eukaryota; Viridiplantae; Streptophyta; Magnoliopsida; Asterales; Asteraceae.